AAGGGAGAAGAGAGAUAUUCUCUUACAUUGUCACUGCGUAAAAAUUUCAUUGAAACACCAAACUGAUUACGAAUUUCAGCACAAAAAUUUUAAAAGAUAGAGAGUAAUUCAGAAUGAUUUUUUAUUAAAUAUAACGAAGUGCAAUGAGAAUAACAUCAAUAAAUGUAACAAAAUAAUUAUAUUCUAAAGUCAAACUGACACGACUUGGAUUCCAAAUGUCUGAAUGAACAAUGUCAAACA
Molecule: unclassified non-coding RNA, 240 nt
Filed under: Hevea brasiliensis (rubber tree)
Lineage: Eukaryota; Viridiplantae; Streptophyta; Magnoliopsida; Malpighiales; Euphorbiaceae
Source: RNAcentral